RNAcentral lists this ribosomal RNA (1824 nucleotides) under Triticum aestivum (bread wheat). RNAcentral describes it as "partial small subunit ribosomal RNA". The record is from RNAcentral. Lineage: Eukaryota; Viridiplantae; Streptophyta; Magnoliopsida; Poales; Poaceae.
AUGGUGGCGUCGAUGGGUGUGGAAGAGUGUGUGAAGACGCUGCAGAGCACCGCUGAGGAGCUUGUCAGCAGGACGAGCUGCUCCCGCUGCUGCUUGACAACCCAGCCGGAUCUGCCUCGACAGGUUCGAGCCCUCCGUCACCGGCCCCAUGCACAUCUGAAUGACUGGCAAAUGUCCUCGCCUUCUCCUCUUCUUUUGUUUCUACCAAAUUCUAAAGUUGUUGGGAAGGUGAUCAAUGUGAACAAGAUGGUCAGGGCCAGAUGGAGAGUGGAGAUCCUAAUAGCGGACCAGAGGCCGACUUGGCAAGAUCAGGGAGCAGCUGGACCACGACAAGGACGUCGGCGGCGGCUUCUCCACCAUGUGGGAUUAUUCUUUGACCUUUCACAAUUCCUCCAGGCGUCCAUAACAUCAAGCAUAAUUUUGUACAAUGGAGAGCUAUCCAUGACAUGUAUGGGAGCAAGGGAACCGGAGGAUGGUACAACCUUGGACUGGCGCGAGGGGAGCCAGGAGGCGGGGUCGUGGCCGUACAUGGCGCCCUGCUGCGUCUCUUUCGGCCCCAUCAUCGAGCUGCUCAACUCCAGGGUGCUCUCCAAGCACUUCAGCCCCGCCUACCGCAAGUACGGCUCGCCCAAGAACCCGCUGCUUGGAUCCUUGUUGGGGUGGACGAGUUACCUCCUUCUUGGGAACAUGUUGCCACGCCAAACUUCGGGAAAAGUCUCUUUGUUUGCUGAGACGAAUUUUGUUUUCCUCCAGGUCCCAUUGAACCAGGUUGAGAAGUGGAACAAGCAGAGGGUGAAUUUUGCAGGAGGGGAAUUUGAAGGAUGUGUGGCUAGAGGAGGAUUUGAGGUUUCAAGGGGAUUGGGUGGAAAAGGGGGAUUCACCAAAUCCCCUGGAAUCCUCUCCCCCCAAAACCUCCACAAUCCCUUGCUAUCAAACAAGGCCCGAGGCCUCGUUUCACAGGGGAGGUUUUGCAGCCCCGGAGUGGAGGGGGGAUUUCUGGGGAUUUUGAACCCUGGGAGGAUAUUCCCCUCCAAAACUCCCCAAACCUCCUCCACCAAACAAGGCCUGAAGAGGAGUUGUGGCAACGCGGCGGAGAUUGCGCCAGUACAGGCUGUAGUGGCACGUCGGGAGCAUGGUGCAGCCGUAGCACACCAGCUGCAGCGAGGGGAACCGUGGGCGGUCGGCGAAGGUAACGUCGUGGUCCAUGAAGCACUACCUCGUGGUCACGCCGAGGACACGACCAUGGUGUGCCGCGUGAGCCGAGGCGCAUGGAGAAGACCGGGCUGCGGUGACAGUCUUCAUGCCGUUGGGACUUGGAAGGAACUGUUCUAUUCGGUGGCUUGUUUGGUUGUGUCGGGCAUACGUAUACCACGCGCAUGGCCAAAAAAACGCCACGAUCUACUCGCCCGCCCAAUCUUCUUACCCGCCCCAUCUGGUCGCCCGAUCACGGUAGUUCCAACUGGCCUAUCACCGCCGCCGCGGAUCGCCUCCAUACGAACCCCGCCCGACGCCGCCCUCGCCAUCCCAACUUCGUCCGUGGCCGCCUCGCACCGUCCAUCCCAACGUCGUCCGUACCCGCCUCUCAAUGUUCGUCACAACGUCGUCCGUCGCCGCCUGUCACCGUCAUCGUCCGUCGCUGCCUGUCACCGUCGUCGUCCGUCGCCCCUUUCACCGUUGUCCUCCGUCACCGCCCUCGCCGUCCCAACAUCGUCCGGGGCCGCCUCUCACCGUCGACGUCCGACGCCGCAUUCGCAUGACGGUCGCCCCCACCGCGAAUCCUGCCAAGCAUCUGGCCGGUUGAUCGUUGUGCACGUCACCGCCUGA